Molecule: small RNA, 186 nt
Filed under: Caryophanon tenue
Lineage: Bacteria; Bacillati; Bacillota; Bacilli; Caryophanales; Caryophanaceae
Description: Bacillus sRNA ncr1575
Rfam family: Bacillus sRNA ncr1575
Source: Rfam by way of RNAcentral
AGACUUUAAUAGAAAGGAAUGAUGGGUGGACGAUGAUUAACUAAUCUAUUUUGUCACGUAUUUGAAAAAUUUUUCAGCAACGAACAAAUAGGAUUAGUAUGCCCAUUUUUUCUUUAUCGGCUUUGUGUGCAAUUUUUGGUUGCGCAUAUUUUCUAAUCCUAUCGCGAUACGCGGUAGGAUUUUUUU